UACGUAGGGGGCAAGCGUUGUCCGGAUUUAUUGGGCGUAAAGCGCGUGUAGGCGGCUUAGCAAGUCGGGCGUGAAAAGCCCUCGGCUCAACCGAGGAAGUGCACCCGAAACUGCUGAGCUUGAGUGCCGGAGAGGAUGGCGGAAUUCCCCAAGUAGAGGUGAAAUUCGUAGAUAUGGGGAGGAACACCGGUGGCGAAGGCGGCCAUCUGGACGGUACUGACGCUGAGACGCGAAAGCGUGGGGAGCGAACAGG
RNAcentral lists this ribosomal RNA (253 nucleotides) under uncultured bacterium. RNAcentral's name for it is "partial 16S ribosomal RNA". It matches the Rfam family "Bacterial small subunit ribosomal RNA", at positions 524 to 776 of the family's 1533-position model. The record is from RNAcentral.